RNAcentral lists this long non-coding RNA (441 nucleotides) under Homo sapiens (human). Its description in RNAcentral is "HSALNT0247933". Lineage: Eukaryota; Metazoa; Chordata; Mammalia; Primates; Hominidae. The record is from RNAcentral.
AGUUGCAUGGAUCUACGCUGGACAUAGCUCAAAAACAAUGCAUGAGAAAGAAUAGAAAGAGCAUUGGACAUGGAGCCUCUGUAGGGCUGAAUUCCUGCUCACCACUUACUCCUGAUACUGGGAAGAUUUUCAACGUCUCCAAGACUGGGGUUUUUCAUUUGCAAAAGGAGGGCUGCAGGAACUUGGAGUACUACAUGUAAUAACAUACUGGUCAUCACUCUUGGCAAAUAUUGAAAGCUUCACUUGGUCCCUGACACCUAAAGGAUAAAGAAGAGCUUGAUGAUCUGAUGUGAGGAGAGAAGUUGGAUGAAACAACUAUGGUCAGGCUGUCAGAAAAAGGGCAUUUUCGUGUAGAAUUGGAAGGGAUUACAUGGUGGGCAGAGAAAGAGCAGCUGAAACACGUGUUUUAAAAUUUGCAGAAUCUUGGCCAGGUGUGGUGGC